RNAcentral lists this unclassified non-coding RNA (179 nucleotides) under Glomus indicum. RNAcentral describes it as "partial internal transcribed spacer region". The stretch from base 1 to 46 matches the Rfam family "Eukaryotic small subunit ribosomal RNA", at positions 1786 to 1831 of the family's 1831-position model. Lineage: Eukaryota; Fungi; Glomeromycota; Glomeromycetes; Glomerales; Glomeraceae. RNAcentral also lists the same sequence under 2 other names. The record is from RNAcentral.
AAGUCGUAACAAGGUUUCCGUAGGUGAACCUGCGGAAGGAUCAUUACCAAUAUAGCGAACCGAGCGUUAGCGAGGCUUCGCGAUCAAAUUGUAUUUAAAACCCAACUCUUUAAAUGUAUAUUAUUAUUAUAUUUUAAAUAAUAAAAAGAUCACUUUCAACAACGGAUCUCUUGGCUCUC